CAGGAUACGUACUAUCAACCCCGUGCCCUGGAGAAGCAUGCGGACAGCAUCCUGGCACUGGUACGUCUGCCCUGCCAUCUGGGACUACUGCAUCUUUUCCGACCCACUUGCCCUCCCGAAUUUUCUCCCCCGCAGCUUGGGAGAAGGCAGUGCCCCCGGGGGUGGGGGAUGUUCUGGGCUCUGCAAGAGACUUCAACACACACACGGAUGUGCUGUCAAGUGCACAUACUUGGCAGUCCCCUUUGGUGUGUGCAUUUUUUUUCUCUGGGGCAGCCUGAGCCCUGAGGAAACUGUGCUUACUUUUGGGACCAUCUGCAGGUGCUGAGUCCUGUGGUCCCCAGUGACCUGUCCUCCCUGGCAACUAACCUCUUUGGCUGCAAAGACAGCUGUUUUCUCUGGCAGGGUUCCUAUGGUGACGUUUGUGCAUCUCUUGGGGACCAGGCCAGGUGCUGUCCUGAGUGGGCCGAGUGAAAAGGCUUGAUUAACUUGAGUAUCUUUCUACUGGCCUUUCAAUGUGAUGAAAUUAUGUCUGGAGAUGAGAGGAAGAAAACAGAACCCGUACCUAAUUUUCCCAGCCUCUGUUAUGCUCUGAUACGUUGCCUUUUAACAAAUAUUAAGCACCUACUGUGUCAUGCACAGAAUAGGUACUUGAUAUGAUCUCCCUCAGGUUAUCCACUUUGCUCAGAGGUUAGGCCUGGAAAUGGCAGACCUGUGUGUGUGUGUGUGUGUGUGUGUGUGUGUGUAUUGAUUGCUUGUCCCCAUCUCUCUGCUGCAGGCUUCAGUCUUCUGGUCCAUCUCUUAUUACUCCUCUCCCUUCGCCUUCUUCUACUUAUACAGGAAAGGUCAGUGUGGUUUCAAAGGUGGUGGGCAGGUUGUUGGCAGCUGAGCUGACCCCCCCUAAAGAGGAGAGGGGACCUGAGAGGAUGGCUUGGCUUCCCUCUUCCAUCAGGCAUCUUCUUCCUCAGAGGGCAUGGCUGUCCCAAAGAGAGGGUACGGGGUGGGGGUUGGGGCAGUGGGGAGAGCUUCUCAUGUGAUGCCUCUCCCCUCCCAGGUUACUUGAGCUUGUCCAAAGUGGUGCCGUUUUCUCACUAUGCGGGGACACUGCUGCUACUCCUGGCAGGAGUGGCCUGCCUCCGAGGUAGGUUGAGAGGGAGCCUGGUUUGGAUCUGUCCCUCACUGGGUAAAUAUUUAUGAAGUCACUUCUGCAAAUACAGUUUUGUGUUGGGCCCUGAGGGGGAAUAAUUGGGAAUGUUGAAGGCAUGAUCUUUUUCUUAAAGGGCCUGGUUGUAAGUAUGAAAAGCUAAUUGGCAGAACACUUUGCUGUUAUCUAGAAGAGAUGCAUAUAUUCUACAAUAAUUCCACAUAUGUCCGUAUAUAUGUUUGUAAUAAUCCGAAACUGGAAACAAGUCCAUGGCCACAAAUAGUAGGAUGGCAGGGAGUCUAGUUCUAGGGCAGAACACAAUACAGCAAUGCAAAUGAACAAAUUGAAGCUACACUCAGCAACACAGAUGAGUCUCACAAUUGUAAUGUUGAAUGCAAGAAGAAGACUACCAAGGGGCGCCUAGGUGGCUGACUCGGUUAAACGUCCGACGUUGGCUCAGGUCAUGAUCUUGCGGUCCAUGAGUUCGAACCCUGCGUCGGCUCUACACUGACAGCUUAGAGCCUGGAGCCUGUUUCAGAUUCUGUGUCUCCCUCUCUCUCUGACCCUAGCCCAUUCAUGCUCUGUCUCUCUCUCUCUGUCAAAAAUAAAUAAACAUUAAAAAAAAUUUUUUUUUAAUUUUUUUUUUCAACGUUUAUUUAUUUUUGGGACAGAGAGAGACAGAGCAUGAACGGGGGAGGGGCAGAGAGAGAGGGAGACACAGAAUCCGAAACAGGCUCCAGGCUCUGAGCUGUCAGCCCAGAGCCUGACGCGGGGCUCGAACUCACGGACCGCGAGAUCGUGACCUGGCUGAAGUCGGACGCUUAACCGACUGCGCCACCCAGGCGCCCCAAAAAAAUUUUUUUUAAAAGAAGACUAACAAAUGAUGUAUGCAGUGUGUUUCUACUUAUGUAAAGUUCAAGAGGGACGCAUACAGAAGUGGCAAAACACAGGCAUGCUUAUCUUGAAAGUCAGGAGAGUGAUUACCUGGGAGAGGGAGGGAACAGGAUGGGGAGGGCUCCUGGAGGGACGUGACUUUGUUCUCUUCCUUGACUUGGGUGAUGGUCACAGGAAUGUUUGCUUCGUAUUUUUUAAACUGGAUAUAUAUUGGACACACGUAUGUUAUAUCUCACAACUUAAAAAUGAAGAGAGAGUCCAAAUCAUUGCCCCUCGGCCGAUGCACGUGAAGAAAACUGGGUGAGGGGAUGCUUGGAGAGAGGUAGUAGACUAGGAGCUGCAUGGCUGCAGUCAUAUCCAGCCUGGGGCGGGGACCUUCUGCCUGCGGUGUCCUGCCUCCUGAUCUCCAUUGGGGUGGGCUCCCUCAUCAGAGAGGCGUUCCCUGACCACCUCACCUAAAAGUAGCUCCCAGUCCUGGGUUUUGUCUUAUUUUUAAAUUUUACAUAUUUAUUUAAGUUUUUUUUUUUUUUUUUUUUGAGAGGGAGAGAGAGAGAAUGAGUGGGAGAGGGGCAGAGAGAGGGAGACCAAGGAUCUUGAAGUGCGCUCUGUGCUGACAGCAGAGAGCCUGAUGUGGGGCUCGAACUCAAGAACUAUGAGAUCAUGAGUUGGAUGCCUAACCAACUGAGCCACCCAGGCAGCCCAAAUUUUAUUUAUUCUUAAUUUGGGUACAUAAAUUAAAUAUAGAGAAGUCCAGAGAACAAAGUGUCAUGAACUGAAAUGCUUAUAUUCUGUCAUGUAGCUUCACAUACUUUUUGUCAAUAAAGUUCUGAAGCAUUGCAUUCAGAGUUGGCAUUCCUGUUGGAAUCUUCCCCACUUCUGUGUUCCUCUUUCCCCAGAGGUAACCAUUGUCACUUGGUGUGGUUUCUUUCCUGGUCCACAUUUUUAUCCUUUUAUGAAAGAUAUACCUCAUUUGAUCAAAUCUAAGCUGUUAGGAAUUGUAAAAUACAUUCCAAUUUCAGUUUUCAAAUGUGAAAAACUAUGCAUUUUAGAAUCUAUGAAAUAUGGUAAGCAUAAACCAUAUAUAGCCAUUCAUUUGUGCAUUUUGCCUUUUUGACACAAAUGGCAUCACAUUAUACAAAUCAUUCUGCACCUUCCUUCAUUCUUAAUAUUGUCUGGGGUCUCUACCCACCCUUGAUAAUAAUAGCAUUCUAGUUGGUUCUGGUUUUCUUUUCUUUAUGGCACUUAAUCCUCUCUGAAAUGUUCUUGUUUACUUGCUUAUUGUCUUUCUCCAGCCCCACCCCACCCCCAGCCAAAGUGCUAGCUCUCUGGGCUGGGACCUGCGUGUCUUGUUUCCUGCUAUCUCCCAUGUCAGGACAGUGCCUGGCACAUGACACCUGUCGGGUCAACGGAAGCAGGAGAAGUCAGGGUUUGAGACUCCUUGGCAGUGAAGGGAGAGCAGAUGUGAUCACCAAAGGGCCAGGUGAAGAGAGGAAUGAGUGCAGUGUUGAGGAUGGCUCUUAUUUCAGAGAGGGAAGUAGAAUGGAGGCAGGGGAGGAGCGGUCCAGGAUUCAGAAGGUGGCAAAGAUGGACCCAGGAAGCAGAGAAGGAGUCUCAGGGGACAGGAAUAGUGUAGAGAGGCAUAGUUGCAAGAGAGUGGGGAUGGAGGAAGGAGACUUCGGAUUCAGUGAGGAAGUGAUUACGGGGCAAGAGCAGGAGCCAUGAGGCCAGAUGGCAGGGAGUUAGACUAUACAGAAAAGAGAUGGAAAGCAAGCAGUGAAGAAGGGUGGCAGGGAAAAAAAGACUCAGUGUUCACAAGGAUGAACAGUAAGGUUGCAUGACGGUGUGUUGCAUGCAACAGUAAGGUUGCAUGACUAGCAAAGUGAACAUUCUGGAACGUUGAGGGUUGCCAGCCUAUAAAGAAACAAACUGAAGAAGCUGGGUAGCAGAACACUGAAGCCAGUUGCUAGAUAUGGAGGAAGGGGGUCAGCUCAACUCUCCUAUUUCCCCAGACCCUGGGCCACCUGUUCCUUUCCCUCCCACUUCCCUUUCCAGGGCCUUCUCCAUGCCCAUCUCCAAUCCUCUUCCUGAAACUUACUCAGCUUGCUCUUCCCAGUUUUCCUAACACUGUCUCCUAUCCUCUCUCUACCAGGCAUCGGCCGCUGGACCAACCCCCAGUACCGGCAGUUCAUCACCAUCUUGGAAGCAACACAUAGGAACCACUCUGCAGAAAACAAGGUAAGGGGUCCCAGGAAAGGUGCCAGACAGGUGCCCUGGCAGCAGCUUUCUCAGCUGCCUCUCCAGAGCACUGGGCACCAGCUUCUGCCAGGGCGAGGAGUUGUGUUGCCACCCAUGGCAGUAGGUUUUUGCUUGCACAUUGCUGUAGCCCUUCUCCCCUGUGCAAGUGAACUGUCCACCCAGAGAAUUUUCCUCCCUACCACUUCUAAUGGGAUGUUCCACUAGAACAAUCCUCCACCCUUCUCCCCUCCAUCUGUAAGAAUUGUCUAGAUGUGGAAAUAUUCCACAUCUUAGAUGGGGGUCUUCUCUCUGUCACAGCAGCUCGGUUCUGUAAGUGUUGUUUAUUUUGGCUGUGUGCAUUGAACACCAUGCUAGUUUUGUUCAGGGAUGGGUCAAGAUGGACAGGUGUGUCCACUGUUGUGCCCAGAAGCACAGCGUGGUGCCAGGAGGGAGAAAAGCCAGGGCAUAGUGUCCUUGGAGUUGUGCCAGCCCAGCUGGUGCUGGAGUGUGAUUAUCUUUGAGAAGGGGCUUUGGGGCCCUAUAAAGCUCUUCCCUGUUAGGGAUUCCUGGGAUCAAAGAGCUGUGACCCUACCAUCAUCGUGUUACUGGUUGUUCCACGCCGCCGUUUACAGAGCUACGUAAUGAAGCUCUACCACGCCGCUGUCUGAGGCAUUUUGCGUACGCCCUUCCCAAUCCUCACAAUAGCCACACGAGGUGGCAUUAUUAUACCUCUGAGGACACAGGAAAAAAGAGGUUAAGUGACAAGCAGAGUCACAGAGCAAAGGAAGGGGCUGGGUCUGGAUUUGAGGCCUGGUCUGAGCAAAGCCUGCUUGAAAUUUGCUUUUCUUCCAUUUUGUUUUGUUUUGCCAUUUACAUUUUUGUACAGUGUUUCUGUUGUUCUUCCUUAGUCAAGUUAUUUUUGAAAAUGUCAAAAAAAUUUCCCGUGACAGAAAAUAAAAAGAGCUCUCAAAAUAGAGCACUGGGAGCUCUCAGGGUGAGGGAGGGGGUACAGCAGAGAGUCAGACACAGCUCCCGCCACCCUCAGAGAGCACGUGGACAGACUUCGUGGGGUGACUGGAGGCAUCGAUAGCCUGGCUGGCAUCACCAGCACAUGGCUGCCGAAGGUGAGAGAAGGGAGGUGGCUGUGAGGAUGGAGCAGAGAGGGCUUCGUUCAGGAGGUGAUUCCAGUGCAAAGGAACCACUCACUGUAGACAUUACUUUCCCUUGUUCCCUCUCACCCAACCUUAGGACAGUCAUUUUGAUCCUCUAGGGCAACAUCAUGUAAAGGACCCGGUGGGGGAAAGGGGUAUGACCAGCCAACAGACCCCGCCCCCACUUCCUCCCUCAAAAGCACCAGCACCUCCAGCCACCCCUUCUUGGGGUGGGUCAGUUUUAUAUUUUGGAAAAGCAAAGAGUGUUGAGUAGUUCUUCUGGAAGCAGACAGGCCAGUUUUGAUACCUGAUAGGGUAUCCUCUCUUGCCUGAUUUUUCUGGCUGUGACAGAGCUUACCCUCUAUGAACUAGGAGCGUGUUGACCUCGACUUGUCUCCCUGUGAUGUGUGGGGGCCAGUCCUGUGGAUGAGGGUGCCAAGGGUGGGUAGGUGGGCCUGCCCCAAUUUCUUAGUUUCCCUUUUCCUCCCCUCCUCUUUCUCUCCCUGCCCACCACAGAGGCAGCUCGCCAACUACAACUUUGACUUCAAGAGCUGGCCAGUGGACUUCCACUGGGAAGAGCCCAGCAGCCGGUGAGGCCCCAGUUCUUUCACUCCAUCCUGCUCUGUCCUGUCCCACACCUCCAUCCCCAUCUUGGGCCCCAGGGCCUCCUUUCCAGUGCCAUCUCCUCAUUCCUGGACCUCAGCUUGCUGCUUCUGACUCCAACCUCCCCUACAUCUUUCCAUCCUCAGGAAGGAGUCUCGAGGGGGCCCUUCCCGCCAGGGUGUGGCCCUGCUUCGCCCAGAGCCCCUGCAUCGGGGGACAGCAGACACUCUCCUCAACCGGGUCAAGAAGCUGCCUUGUCAGAUCACCAGGUGAGAAGCAGCAGGGAAGAGAGGCCAUCUGGGGUGGAGGGGACAUCGGGUGAGGACUCCAGGACUGGGUGCUAUGGAUAAAAUAGCGGCCAUUUAUUGGGCCUAGUGCUAUGUAUUUUGUAUUAUUUGUGAUGGUUUUUAAUCUACAUUUAUAUGUGAAGAAAAGAGGCUCAGGGAGGUGUAGUCUCACAGAUGGUGAAUGAAGGGUUGGGAUAUUAAUAAUUCUUUCUGACACAAAAGCUCUUUUAUUUUAUUAUUAUUAUUUUUAAUUAAUUAAUUUACUUGUUUAUAAAUGUUUAUUUAUUUUUGAGAGAGAGAGCUGGGGAGGGGCAGAGAGAGGAAAAGACAGAGGUCCCACAGUGGGCUCAGUGCUUACAGCAGAGAGCCCAGUGUGGGGCUCGAACCCGCGAAUGGCAAGAUCAUGACCUGAGCCAAAGACAGACGCUUAACUGACUGAGACACCCAGGUGCUGCUAAAAUUUAUUUAAGUAAGCUCUACACCCAACAUGGGCCUUGAACUCACGACCCCAAGAGCAAGAGCCACAUGCUUUACCGACUAAGCCAGCCAGACACCCCACAAAAGCCCUUCUAACGAGGCUGAGAGAGAACAAUGAGGUUGAGAGUGUGGUGGAGACACAUAGCCUUAGCUGGAGUGGCAUCUGGUGACAGCUGUGCCCCUGACCUGGCCUCUUUACUCCUAGAUUCUUCUGCCUUAAGCAAGCUACAAUUUCUGCAUCCAUGAAUAACGCACUUUAUAGGAUUGGUAUAUUAAGUAGAGUAACAUAUUCAGAAGGGUUACUACUUUGCCUGGGUACUUGACAGCAAAGCCCAAGCUGUGGCUACUGAUGAUGUCAGAAGUGACAACAGUAAGCCUUCCUCCCUUACAGUAGAGCAGAUGCUGUGGUAAUUUUCUAUUGUUGGGGGCUGGGAGGCAGUUCCAAGAUACCAAGGAAAGGGAUGGAUUUAGUGAUCAGUGUUGCCUGUGUGACGAUUGGUCAGAGGGACAAACCAAAUUUGCAGUUUUGAGGGGAUGCUGGACAGGGUGGUACAUACCUGUUUUUUUCUGGGGACAAAUCCUAUUUCAGGAUUAACUGGAAAUGGUUAAUUGUCUUUUUCAGAUACCUACCACAGCUUAUCUGUCUAGAUUAGUGCAUUUGUUCAGUAAAUAUUUAUUAAGCCCCUCUUUGUCAGGCUCUAGCCACCUGCUACGUGGCAGAAUAGGGCAUAUUGCAGAACAGAACAGUCAGGUCUCUGCCCUGGUGGAGUCUGCAGUCUAGUGUGGUGUAUUUCAAACUACCGUCCAUUCAUGAAUCUUGAAACCGAGUGAAUUACAGCUGUCAUUUUUUAAAGUAUUAUAGGGGGCCUUUAAAUAAGUUGCAUUUAUACAUUAACAGAAUCAUAGUUAAUAAUAACUUUGCUUUGGGGUCCGUGUGUGGCUCAGUUGGCUGAGUAUCUGACUCUUGAUUUCGGCUCAGGUCAUGAUCUCACAGUCGUGAGAUCAAGCCCUGUGUCAGGCUCCACGCUGAGUGUGGAGCCUGCUUGCGAUUCUCUCUCUCCCUGUCUCUCUCUCUCUCUCUCUCUCUCUCUCUCUCUCUCUCUCUCUGCCUCUCUCUCUCUCUCCCCCACCUGUGCACACACUCUCUCUAAAUAAAUAAAUAAACAUUUACAAAUUAAAAAGAAUAGGGGCGCCUGGGUGGCUCAGUCGGUUAAGCGGCCGACUUCGGCUCAGGUCAUGAUCUCGCAGUCUGUGAGUUCCAGCCCCGCAUUAGGCUCUGUCCUGACAGCUCCCGGCCUGGAGCCUGCUUCCAAUUCUGUAUCUCCCUCUCUCUUAAUUAAUAAGAAUUACUUAUCGCAUAUAGAAAAUAUUAUCUCCUAAAAUUUUCAAUAUUCUAAAUAUAGAUGUGUGUACCGGGCCACAAUAUAAAAUGUGCAUAUUAUAAAAGUUGUAGUAAAAAAAAUUUUGAAGAACACCAGCCUGGUACAUAUAUUACUUCAUUAUGUCCUGAAAGAAGAGAACAAAGCUGUAAAGGUCAAGAAACAAAACUAUAAAGGUCAGGGGUGAAGCAGGCCCCAGAGUCUCUGAGUGCUAGGGCUAGGAUGAUCCCUGGGUCCUACUGAGGUCAAGGGUUCGUUAACCCCAUGUUCCCCACAGCUACUUGGUGGCGCACACUCUGGGGCGCCGGAUGCUAUAUCCAGGCUCAGUGUACCUGCUCCAGAAGGCCCUCAUGCCCAUGCUGCUGCAGGGCCAGGCCCGGCUGGUGGAAGAGGUGAGGCCCCCUGCCCCCACCCCACCCCCGAUGGUCCUUCUCCCCCUACCAGGGAUGUGACCUCCUGCCCCUCACAACAUCUCCCCCACUCAGUGCAACGGGCGCCGGGCAAAGCUGCUGGCCUGCGAUGGCAACGAGAUUGACACCAUGUUUGUGGACCGGCGGGGGACAGCUGAGCCUCAGGGACAGAAGCUGGUGAGAGGGAGCAGGGAGCCCAGGCCAAAAGUGGUGCGGGGAGAGCAGUGGAGGUUCUGGGGACCUCAGUUCUACAGCAGCCCUAAGAAGUACAUCUGGGGAUAAUCCCAUCUCCCACCCCACCCUCAAGACAUGUUGGUGUAGGAAAACCCUACCACAGGGAAAUAGAUGAAGUAGGAGUUGACAUUCAAGGACCAAAAAGUAAUCUUGUAAUAGUCACCACUUAGACAGCAUUUAUCACAUAGAAGGCAUAUAUUUAAUCCUCAAAACAACCCUGCAGAAGAGGUACUAUUUUUAGGAGAGCCCAUUUUACAGAUGAUGAAACUGAGCCUGGGAUAAUUUUCCCAGACCACACAGUAAGUGAGAGAGCUGGGAUUUGAACCCAGGUAGCCUGGCCUCCAGUAUAUCCUGCCUCCAUGAGGGAGCCAUGGAAAGAGCACUGAGUCAGCAGUCCAGGGAGCUGACUCCUGGUUCCGGCACUGCCCAGCUGCUAUGAGAAUCCAUGCAAGCUCCACCAUCUCUGAGUUUGGGCUCGGGGCCCCAUGAAAUUAAAGUUUAUCUGACUCUAAGUCUGAGGCCCAGAGAUGGAAAGUGAUUGGCAUGCCACACAAAAGAAACAGUCAUGAAAAAAAUAGACCCAAAAACUAGACAGGAAAAAAAUAUCCAUAACCCCAUUUCUGAGAGCUGUCCUCCGGUGGUCUUCCAAGGAAAACGACACUGCUGAGUGGUCGAGCAGUUCGUCUUCCUCAGUUUGCUAAGCUUUUGCAUCCACUCUGCCUCUCAUGCACCUUGUAAAAUUAGAAGUUUCUAUUCCCGUUGAAGACAACAGGCCCUUUCCUCUUCCCUGUAAAGCUCCCACGUCCUGCCACACAGGGGAUUUUCAGUCCCAGCUUGGCUCCUUCCCAGCCCUUCUUCCUGCUUCCUUCUGUAGGUGAUCUGCUGUGAGGGGAACGCGGGCUUCUAUGAGGUGGGCUGCAUUUCUACACCUCUGGAAGGUAGGCCCAGGGCACAAUACUCAUCUCUGCCCUUUGGAAUGGAAUGUCCCCACCUUCCCACACCAGUAUAACUUCCCUGGGCCAGAUCACCUUGUCUGAGUGAGGUUUGAAAUUCUCACAUUUGGGGGGAAAGUUUACUCCCCAUUCGCUUUGCCAACCUUACAUUCCCUCCCUUUGGGCUGUGUCCCUAACAUUAUGGCCUUCAUUCUGUCCCCAUGACAUAAUCACAUCUCUCCCUUCUACUGCCUCAGAACCUCUGGUGUCAUCUCCCCAUUCUGAGAAAGCUUGGAGUUACUCACCUCUAAAUUUGGGGUUGUUUAGAGCUCCCAUAUUGUGUUGGCCUUUCCCCCGGGGCUGGAGGUGGGGGAGGUGUGGGCCACAAGGUCAUAGCCCCUCCUCCUCCUCCUGUGUUGCAGCUGGAUAUUCUGUCCUGGGCUGGAAUCAUCCAGGCUUUGCUGGAAGCACGGUGAGACACUCUCUGAAAUCCCUUUCUUUUCCUGAAUUUAUGGUUAUGGUCUGUCUCCCUCUGGUCAGCCACUGGAAUUAGGAAAAGGGGUGUAUAUUUCUCUGGUGGCUCUCACUCAUCUGUCACCUGGGUGCCAAGGGCAGGGAACCAUGACGCCACCCCACAGUGAGAAGUGGCAUUUCUGGAGAGUGCGGGCCCUCUCGCCACCCUUCUCUUCUGCACCCUCUGUCUCUUGUAGGGUAGCUCUGUGCUGGAAGCGUGCAAGUGGCCCAUGAACCAGCCUCUGGUGCUAACCCACUCCUGCGUUUGCCCUUCUUCCUGCAGGGGGUGCCAUUUCCUCAGAAUGAGGCCAAUGCCAUGGAUGUGGUGGUCCAGUUUGCCAUCCACCGCCUGGGCUUCCAGCCCCAGGACAUCAUCAUCUAUGCCUGGUCCAUCGGUGGCUUCACUGGUACCAGCCUACCCCCCUCCCCGGGCAAAUUAUGCCACCCCCACCCCCCUCAAAGAGCAGUAGGGAAAUGCCCUGAGAGCCCAGCAGUGGGGUAGAGGCUUAAGGGAGGAGAGGAUGGAGGAGGGAUAUCUGCGUGUGUCUGGAAGAUGGUAUCCUAUUUGUAUACGUUCGCAUUUCCUUCUACCUUAUGCCCAUUACGAAAAGAAGCAGACCAGGGUCCUGGAGGGGGGAGAUCAGGGAAGUGAAGUUUUCCUCUGCACGUGGUCUUUGAUGCACUUUGAUAUUCUCUCUCCGUCUCCUCCAUACAGUGCCCUGGCCAAGUGAAGUGAGGGGUUAAGGGGCACCUGGGGCUAACCUAGUAGAGAUGAUGGUGUCAGCCUGUAGGGUCAAUGGGACAAAGGUGGGGUGGUGGGCAGGAGCCCCUCGGUCCUCACCUUUCUUCCUUGUUCUGGUACCAGCCACAUGGGCAGCCAUGUCCUACCCAGACAUUAGUGCUGUGAUCCUGGAUGCCUCCUUUGAUGACUUGGUGCCCUUGGCCUUGAAGGUUAUGCCAGAUAGCUGGAGUGAGUGCAGCUCCCAGGCCUGCCUUUCCAGGGAAGGGGUGGGCUGGAACUGGGAACUAUUCUAACUGGAGAUGGUUCCUUUUUAUGUAGGUGGGGAGUGGGUCACCCAACGGGAUAAAAAGCAGGAGGGCUCCCCUGUCUGGGGCCUUAGUUUUCUUUGUGAACAGUGGGGAACUAUAUGUUGUGCAAGGGCUUUGUCUCUGCCAUCCCGUCACUCUGAUCCCACUCUAGGGGGCCUUGUGACCAGGACCGUGAGGCAGCAUCUCAAUCUGAACAAUGCAGAACAGCUGUGCAGGUGAGGGCAGGCCAGUAACCGGCGUGUAACUCCCUUCCCCACUUCCCCACUGUACAGGCUUUGCUGGGUAUUGAAGCAGAUCUCCCAGUAAGGCCAGAAUGUGGGCCAUGACUGUUCUUAAAUAUUUUCUCACCCCUGAGUGAAGGGUUAGCCUGUGGGGCCCUGCUAUAGUAGGGGGUUAGGCUGCAGCCAGUGCAAGGGUGGGGUGGCCACUUGUCCCCUCUCCCUCUGAGCACCACACUGUCCUCUGAAGGUACCAGGGCCCUGUGUUGCUGAUCCGCAGAACCAAGGAUGAGAUCAUCACCACCACGUGAGUGCCUGGGAGCCUCUGCCCUCCUAGAUCCCAGAUGUAGCUAGGAAGUUGCCCUUCCCACCUCUGCCCACCAGAAACCUAGGUAUCCAGACCCUUCCUCCCCAACCUCCAGCCCCUCCAGUGUACACUGUUCUCACCCCCAGGGUUCCUGAGGACAUCAUGUCCAACCGAGGCAAUGACCUCCUGCUGAAGCUCCUACAGUAUCGGUAAGCGGGAGUGUGUGUGCGUGCCUGCACGUGUGUGUGCAUGUGUUUACUGACACUGGCGUGGCAAGGGAGGGAGGGAAGAGGGUUUAGGGAUGAGGAGUGAAGAGAAUUGGGUCCUGACCUCUCGUCCUGUUGCUCCCUCUGUAGGUAUCCCCGUGUAAUGGCAGAGGAGGGUCUUCGAGUGGUGAGGCAGUGGCUGGAAGCCUCCUCACAGCUGGAGGAAGGUGCAGGGGGAUGCGGUGAGGCCUUUGGGUGGGGGCCUGGCCAGGCCAGGUCACUGACAAGCCCUCCUUUCUCUCCCUGAGCAGCCUCGAUUUAUAGCCGUUGGGAGGUGGAGGAGGACUGGUGCCUGUCCGUCCUCCGCUCCUACCAGGCAGAGCACGGGCCUGACUUCCCCUGGAGUGUGGGUAAGGACGUCCUGUGGCAGGAGGGGGUGUUGGGAAGAAGUCAGGAAGGGGGAUGAAUACCCAGAUGUAUGGCUCAUGUGUGAGCGGCUCUUCUCCACAGGGGAGGACAUGAGUGCAGACGGAAGGCGGCAGCUGGCCUUGUUUCUGGUGAGCUGAGGGGUGGCGGGCAGGAAGGGGGUGCCGGGAUGGCCAGGGGGCUUGGAGACAGGGGAUACCAUGUAAGCAUUGGAAGUGGCAGCUUGUAGGGUGUGGGAGGUGGUUUCAGAGGCUGUGGAGGUGUUUGAGGGUGCUGUAUACUGCGGUGCUCUGCACCCCACCUGUCCUGCCCUCUUCCUUCAGGCUCAGAAGUAUCUGCACAACUUCGAGGCCACGCACUGCACCCCGCUCCCGGCCCCGAACUUCCAGAUGCCCUGGCGCCUCUAGGGACCACAGUGGGACUCGUUCUGAAAGAGUGGGAUAGGAGGAGACAUGAGGAAGGCUCUUCUUAUUUGUGAUUCUCUGUGUUCACAUUGCUAUUUAUAGUUUGUGGAAAGUGGGGGGCUGUCCCCCUUUUCACUGCCCUAUUGCACGUUUCCCCUCAUCCAUCUGGCAGUACCUAACCUUCCCCAACAUAUACCCCGCAUUCAGUGAAUGGAUUAUUCCUAAUAAUUAAUAAAAAGGUAUUUUUUCU
This 13117-nucleotide long non-coding RNA is filed under the name Lynx pardinus (Iberian lynx). Lineage: Eukaryota; Metazoa; Chordata; Mammalia; Carnivora; Felidae. The record is from RNAcentral.